RNAcentral lists this unclassified non-coding RNA (342 nucleotides) under soil metagenome. Its description in RNAcentral is "partial contains 5.8S ribosomal RNA, internal transcribed spacer 2, and large subunit ribosomal RNA". The stretch from base 1 to 120 matches the Rfam family "5.8S ribosomal RNA", at positions 35 to 154 of the family's 154-position model. The record is from RNAcentral.
GAUGAAGAACGUAGCGAAAUGCGAUAAGUAGUGUGAAUUGCAGAAUUCAGUGAAUCAUCGAAUCUUUGAACGCACAUUGCGCCCUUUGGUAUUCCAAAGGGCAUGCCUGUUCGAGCGUCAUUUGUACCCUCAAGCUUUGCUUGGUGUUGAGCGUCUUGUCUCUAGCUUUGCUGGAGACUCGCCUUAAAGUAAUUGGCAGCCGGCCUACUGGUUUCGGAGCGCAGCACAAGUCGCACUCUCUAUCAGCAAAGGUCUAGCAUCCAUUAAGCCUUUUUUUUCAACUUUUGACCUCGGAUCAGGUAGGGAUACCCGCUGAACUUAAGCAUAUCAAUAAGCGGAGGA